AGGACGAACGCUGGCGGCGUGCUUAACACAUGCAAGUCGAGCGGAAAGGCCCUUCGGGGUACUCGAGCGGCGAACGGGUGAGUAACACGUGAGUAAUCUGCCCCUAGCUCUGGGAUAGCUCCGGGAAACCGGGAUUAAUACCGGAUACGACCACCUUAGACAUCUUUUGUGGUGGAAAGAAUUUCGGCUAGGGAUGAGCUCGCGGCCUAUCAGCUUGUUGGUGGGGUAACGGCCUACCAAGGCGACGACGGGUAGCCGGCCUGAGAGGGCGACCGGCCACACUGGGACUGAGACACGGCCCAGACUCCUACGGGAGGCAGCAGUGGGGAAUAUUGCGCAAUGGGCGAAAGCCUGACGCAGCGACGCCGCGUGGGGGAUGAAGGCCUUCGGGUUGUAAACCCUUUCAGCAGGGACGAAGCGAAAGUGACGGUACCUGCAGAAGAAGCGCCGGCUAACUACGCGCCAGCAGCCGC
This 473-nucleotide ribosomal RNA is filed under the name uncultured bacterium. RNAcentral's name for it is "SSU rRNA". It matches the Rfam family "Bacterial small subunit ribosomal RNA", at positions 26 to 518 of the family's 1533-position model. The record is from RNAcentral.